UCUCAAAUAAAAAAUUUCUUAUCCUACAAAUUACUGUUAAGGAUUGUCAUUCUGCUCUUCAUAUAGCAGCUCAAUUCGAGAUUCCUUGUAUGCUUUUGGAGAAUCGAUAAGCCAAUCCAGAUUGGUUGAAUCGUCAUACAAGUGUGUUCAGUUUUAUCGUCGUAUGUGCUCUGACCAGCCUCCCGCUACCAUUCUCCGACCACCCACCAGAGUUUGUCAAUGAUUACACAACGACAACCCACCGGCAUGAAACCUACAAUCACCGCCGUUGAAUGCUUUUUCCCAACUUGUGGUUACUCUCCAAUCAGUAACUCUUUCAUCUCUGCAAGAUCGGAAGAUCUAAGGUUAUAAAUUGAAGACGAAUAAUUGAAGGAGACAUGUGUGCUGAGAGAUCGAUUAGGUCUCUUUUUAGGCAGUACGAAUCCUUAAUUCCUCUGCCAUCGGAAGUAAUCUCAAGUGCUUAUUAUGAAUUAUGGUUUGAGAAAUUAUGUCUAUUCAGUGUGUUUUUUUUAUUACACGAAACUUGUGUACACGUAUUUUUGUUUGUCAAUUCGUGUUUUAGUUAGGUUUUAAGGAGUUUAUUAUAUGAUGGUCCAGAAUCUAGGGCUAAUUGUUAUAAUUUUCAGAUAUGGGGCUUUACCCAGAUUGUCAUACUCACUCAUCAUUGUGAUUCCAGUCGCUUCAUCCACAACUUUAGAGGUUGAAAUUUAUUAGGAAACUAAACUGAUAAAAUCCCAGUGCCAAAGGUGAUUAUAAAUCAGGACUCAGAUCUAGAUCUAGAUCUUGAUGCAAGUGUGAUGGGAUCACUUACAAAUCUUGGAAUGAAUGUUGUCAAGGCAAAUGAUCAUCUGAAUUCUUCCGGGAAUCACACCAUGUUUUUAACAACUGAAGCAUCAUAGACAUGAUGCAGCAAGAGCAGAAAAUUCAUUUACUCUUAUUUUUAGGAGUGAAUUAAUCGGUAUGCAAAUCUGCAAAAAAGGUAUAUAGGUUUUUUCUACUGUUAUUUCUAGAUAUAGCAAAAUGUGCGUGUUAGGCAACAAUUCAAAACGGGCCAGGUUGGGUUGACCUUAAACAUGAUGGUUUUGGUGACCAACAACACAAAUUUUAUCUUUGAACUAUAUUUUGUAUCAUUUUUACCUUAGUUGGGAUUCUUUUGUUACCGAUGAUUAGGGGUGUUCAUGGUUUGGUUUAAAACUGAGAAACCGUCCAAACCGAUCAUCGGUUUGGUUACAUGUUCGGUUUUUUAUUAACUUUCAGUCAGUCGGUUUUAAAAAUUCCAAACUAUAGCAUACGGUUCGGUUUUCGGUUGAUACCAAAAAUCGGUCGUAUAAAACUGGACCAUUUGUUUGAUAAUAUAUUGAGCUUAAUAAAAAAAAAAACUAUCCAAAUAAGACUUGAAGUGGAACCAUUGGGUGUAUUUAUAUUAGCUUAUCCCUGUAUGGGUUGUAUGAAAAAUUAUAAUGUCUCUGGUCACUUCAAACAAAACCUCAAUAAUUUAGUUAGUAAUUAGUUAUCUUAUUAUUGUUUUCUAUUGAUGUGAUAAAUGGAUAAGUAGACUAGAGAUUUGAACAAUUUGUUUCCAUCUAGCCAAUAAUUCAGUAUCAAGUUUCACACUUAAAUAUUAUUUUUUUAUAAAUCCAUGGUUGCUAUUGUAGACAAUAUUCCUAUAAGUACAGUGACUUCGUUUAUAUUGUUACUUGGGCAGGGGCAAAAUUGCAAAGGCUAAAAGACUGAUGAUGUUCAAACUGGUAACGGUUUGGUUUGGUUUCAAAUUUCAGCGGUUUGGUUCUGGUUUACAAUCAUAAAAAAUCAUUAGUGGCUUACGGUUUGCCUAAAAACCGUAAAAAAAACCGAACCGUGAACGCCCCUAUUAAUGAUGAUACUUGCAAAGUGUGAAUUGUUUACUUGAAUAUACUUUUAAAUGCCGAAUUUUACCUUCAAAUACCGCUACCGUACCGAUACCAUACCGAUACCGUACCGUACCGACAUAUUUCGCUAUGUGUAUCGGUACCCGGUUUUGGCGGAAUUCGGUAUCGGGACGGGAUCGGGAUUUGAUCAUCCCUACUUACUUAAAGACUUUUCAUCUUGAAACAUUUGUACUGAUCAAUAAUCAUAUAUAUAAUGGGUUGAUUACUGGUGCCCAAAUGGUUUCAAGUGUGAACUCAAUUAUCAAGCACUAGUGUUUGCACCAGGUGGAGAUCUUAUAAAGGUUAAAAGAGCAGUUUGCAUGAUCAGCAACAACACAGCAGUUGCCAAGGGGUUGCAAAAAAAUGUCACAUUUUGUAAUAUUUGUUGAGCUAUCAAGACCUUGAUGCUCUAGAGGAUGAGGUCAUUGUCAUAGAGUACGAGAGCAUGCACACUAUUCUUUAAUGGAGUUGAAGGACCAAGGCCUGACCUGACCCAACCGAACGCACAUUUAAGCUGAGUUUUUUUUUUCUGAAGACGACGUGAGUCAUUGAUCGAAUUGAGUAUGUUCUACCUACCAUUAACCACUUCGAAUGGAGAUAAAAAGUGCACUGUUUUACUCUGCAAAAGAUGUAGUGAGCUAGGGGAAGCAUCAGAUGAUCAAUGAUGAUUCCUUUAUUCUAGUCUUGUCACUGAGUUGGUUGUUGUUAAGUAAAUACGAUUUCGUUGUGUUUU
This is a long non-coding RNA of Helianthus annuus (common sunflower), 2640 nucleotides long. RefSeq lists it as uncharacterized. The transcript is spliced from 7 exons. NCBI's taxonomy places the organism in Eukaryota, Viridiplantae, Streptophyta, Magnoliopsida, Asterales, Asteraceae. The record is from RefSeq and is a predicted model, not a curated record.